This 77-nucleotide transfer RNA is filed under the name Anaeromassilibacillus sp. An200. Its description in RNAcentral is "tRNA-Arg". It matches the Rfam family "tRNA". From Rfam's summary of the family: Transfer RNA (tRNA) molecules are approximately 80 nucleotides in length. Their secondary structure includes four short double-helical elements and three loops (D, anti-codon, and T loops). RNAcentral also lists the same sequence under 1 other name. The record is from RNAcentral. Lineage: Bacteria; Bacillati; Bacillota; Clostridia; Eubacteriales; Acutalibacteraceae.
CCGCCCAUAGCGCAGCUGGAUAGAGUGUCAGAUUCCGAUUCUGAAGGCCGGGGGUUCGAAUCCCUCUGGGCGGGCCA